This 215-nucleotide ribosomal RNA is filed under the name uncultured bacterium. RNAcentral's name for it is "partial 16S ribosomal RNA". It matches the Rfam family "Bacterial small subunit ribosomal RNA", at positions 524 to 736 of the family's 1533-position model. The record is from RNAcentral.
UACGUAGGGACCAAGCGUUGUUCGGAUUUACUGGGCGUAAAGGGCGCGUAGGCGGCAAUUCAAGUCAUCUGUGAAAUCUCCGGGCUUAACUCGGAACGGUCAGAUGAUACUGCUUUUGCUAGAGUGCGGGAAGGGGCAAUCGGAAUUCUUGGUGUAGCGGUGAAAUGCGUAGAUAUCAAGAGGAACACCUGAGGUGAAGACGGGUUGCUGGGCCG